CAGGGAAUCUUGCGCAAUGGGCGAAAGCCUGACGCAGCAACGCCGCGUGGGGGAAGAAGGCCUUCGGGUUGUAAACCCCUUUCAGGAGGGAAGAAAAUGACGGUACCUCCAGAAGAAGCACCGGCCAACUACGUGCCAGCAGCCGCGGUAAUACGUAGGGUGCGAGCGUUAUCCGGAAUCAUUGGGCGUAAAGAGCUCGUAGGCGGUUCAACAAGUCGGCUGUGAAAGUCCGGGGCUCAACCCCGGAAUUGCAGUCGAUACUGUUGUGACUUGAGUCCGGUAGAGGAGAAUGGAAUUCCCGGUGUAGCGGUGGAAUGCGCAGAUAUCGGGAGGAACACCAGUAGCGAAGGCGGUUCUCUGGGCCGGCACUGACGCUGAGGAGCGAAAGCGUGGGGAGCAA
RNAcentral lists this ribosomal RNA (400 nucleotides) under uncultured bacterium. RNAcentral describes it as "bacterial SSU rRNA". It matches the Rfam family "Bacterial small subunit ribosomal RNA", at positions 355 to 771 of the family's 1533-position model. The record is from RNAcentral.